This 395-nucleotide ribosomal RNA is filed under the name uncultured bacterium. Its description in RNAcentral is "bacterial SSU rRNA". It matches the Rfam family "Bacterial small subunit ribosomal RNA", at positions 28 to 426 of the family's 1533-position model. The record is from RNAcentral.
GACGAACGCUGGCGGCGUGCUUAACACAUGCAAGUCGAGCGGUAAGGCCCUUUCGGGGGUACACGAGCGGCGAACGGGUGAGUAACACGUGGGUGACCUGCCCUCAGCUCUGGGAUAAGCCUGGGAAACCGGGUCUAAUACCGGAUAUGACUCCAUGACGCAUGUUGUGGGGUGGAAAGCCUUGUGCGGCUGAGGAUGGGCCCGCGGCCUAUCAGCUUGUUGGUGGGGUGAUGGCCUACCAAGGCGACGACGGGUAGCCGGCCUGAGAGGGCGACCGGCCACACUGGGGCUGAGACACGGCCCAGACUCCUACGGGAGGCAGCAGUGGGGAAUCUUGCGCAAUGGGCGAAAGCCUGACGCAGCGACGCCGCGUGAGGGAUGACGGCCUCGGUCGU